CUCGUCAUGGCGCAGUGGUAGCGCGGCGGACUGUAAAGUUUACAUUCAUCCGUCGGUCCCCAGUUCAAAUCUGGGUGACGAGA
Molecule: transfer RNA, 83 nt
Filed under: Acanthocystis turfacea Chlorella virus TN603.4.2
Lineage: Varidnaviria; Bamfordvirae; Nucleocytoviricota; Megaviricetes; Algavirales; Phycodnaviridae
Description: tRNA-Tyr
Rfam family: tRNA
About the family: Transfer RNA (tRNA) molecules are approximately 80 nucleotides in length.
Source: RNAcentral